Long non-coding RNA from Juglans microcarpa x Juglans regia, 1479 nucleotides. RefSeq lists it as uncharacterized. Lineage: Eukaryota; Viridiplantae; Streptophyta; Magnoliopsida; Fagales; Juglandaceae. The transcript is spliced from 2 exons. The record is from RefSeq and is a predicted model, not a curated record.
AAGAGUAGAAGUUGAAUUACAGAACCUGAUAGUAUUGUGGAGCUAGAGUAGUUGGUUUCAGCUAACUAUUCUUCUCAAGAUGAAGUUGUUAAAUUAAAUUGUAAACAUCAACACUUACAAUGGUUGAAUAGGGAGGAAAUCUUGGGUUGUCAAAAGUUCCGUGUGAAAUGGCUAACGGAGGGGGACUCUAAUAGGGCAUAUUCUCAUGCUAUGAUGCGAGUAAAAAAGAAUAAUAAGAGGGUUGAUCAAAUGAGCUUGGACAAUGGACAGGUAUUGGAAUCUUUGGAUGAAAUCCAUAGCGGCGCUGUUAAUUUUUUUUUUUCAGGAAAUGCUUACUACAGAUGUAGUGAACUUUGAUGAAGAAUCACUUUCUUUGCUUUUGCCAUCAGUUAAAGUUCAAGAAAAUGAAGCAUUAACUGCAAGGCUGUCAAUGGAAGAGGUAAAAGCUACUUAAUGGUCUAUUCUGACGGAUAGUAGCCCGGGUCCGGAUGGUUUCUCGGCUAGUUUCUUUAUUCUUGCUUGGGAUGUUGUGAAGCAUGAUAUUGUAGAGAUGGCCAUAGAAUUUAUUUAGGAGAAGCUAUUGUCGACAUUCUUUGGUACCACUAAUCUGGUGCUCAUUCAUAAGGUUGAUGAACCUAUGGGUUUUGGGCAAUUCCGGCCUAUUAGUCUUUAUUCGGUGGUUUAUAAAAUUAUGGCUAAGGUGAUGGUGUUUCGAUUGGUUUCGUUGUUAAAUCAUUUUUAUCUCUACUGAGCAAGUGGCGUUUAUUAGGGGGAGAAGUAUAUUUGAUAAUAUGGUUAUUGCUCAGGAGUUGGUCCAUGGUAUCAAUCAGAAGGUGAGAGGAGGAAAUGUUAUGCUAAAAAUCGAUAUAGCAAAGGCAUAGGAUAGAGUCAAUUGGCAAUUUUUAUUGGAGGUGUUGAGAAGAUUGGGUUUUUCAAAAAAAUGGAGGAAUAUGAUUUUCAAUUGUAUUUCCUCUCCGUUUUAUUCCUAAUGUUGAAUGGAUGUUCUCGGAGUUUUUUCAAGGCUUCUAGGGGUCUUCAUCAAGGUUUAAGGCCCCCCGUAAGCUUGACUUAAGAAGAGAAGGAGGAAGGUUUCGAGACAGUAUCCUCGAGAAGCAAGAGAGAGAGGAAGAGGAGAGAAACAGUCACGGGAGAAGGCAUGUAAGGGCAAAAAUCAAUGGCAAGGAAAGAGAGUGAAGGCAGGGACUUGCGCAUAAAAGGGGAGGUUGAUGCCAGACACCAGGACAUAGUUGGGAUAACAAUUCGAUUUUCGUUUUUACAUUUCAGAAACUUUCUAGAGUUUUUAAGGUUUUUCAUUUUGGCGAAAUACUAUGUUUAUGAUGGUGAAGUUAGGUUAAUUCUAAAGCUUGGGUUGCGGUAAAAGCUUUCAUUUGUUUUCUAUACUUGCAGGAUUUCUGUAGUUGUUGAUUUAUAUACUUCACUUUAUCGGAAAUCAAAUUCUGGAAAUGGGAGUUUGAUGGA